Polistes dominula (European paper wasp) is the source of this 813-nucleotide long non-coding RNA. The record is from RefSeq and is a predicted model, not a curated record. Lineage: Eukaryota; Metazoa; Arthropoda; Insecta; Hymenoptera; Vespidae.
AUUACUGAAAUAACAAAAACAAAUUUUCUAUAUAAAUGUUGAAUCAUACAACUCUGACACUAUUGCUUCAUUUGCUUAAUAAUGAAAAUAUAUACGCAGUAAUAAUAAACGUAUAGGAUAAGGAAAUAUUUCUUGGAAAAAUUCUGAAGCUCUUGCAAAUGAAAAAUUUACUAUUAUUAGAAGUAAAGUUCUAAAGGAUCAAACCUAGAAAACAAAGUAUAUUUUACUAUAACGCUUAAUUAUUAAUUCAAUAUGUUUAUUUUUAGAUACAAAGGAAGUGGACACGGACGAAUGAAACAAAGAUGGCGCAAGUGGCUUUUUUAAGAGAAGAAAAAAAAAGAAAAAAAGAAGUGAUCUAAUUGCAAAUAGUUGCGUACUCCAGCGUUCAUCCCCACCCCCGUUUGCUUGCUCACCGAAAGCUAGCGUUUCUGUACGGUUUGUUGCGUAACGGUGCAGAGUCAUGCGAUAGGAUAGGAUGUGUCGUGGGGGUAGAGGGGUAAAAGAGGCAAGAGAGGAGGAAGAUCGGGGCAUAUAGACGAUACCCAUGUCGGAAGGGGACCCAAGAGAGAACCGAGACACGCACCAGAAAAGAGAAAGAGAGAUAGAACAUUCUUCUAAUCGUCGUUAUGCCACCACACCAUUACAGACCUAUCGGAAAGCUUUUCUUCCUCCAUUCUGCCCUUGGAUGUUCAACACGUAACUCGUCGACCUUGUAGUCUCUGAGAAACAAAAGAAUCCCAUUAACUUAUUACAUAUAUUAUGUUGUUUUUAUCUACGAGUUGCUGCAUACAUACUUACGUUAAUGAACAAGUG